This 253-nucleotide ribosomal RNA is filed under the name uncultured bacterium. RNAcentral's name for it is "partial 16S ribosomal RNA". It matches the Rfam family "Bacterial small subunit ribosomal RNA", at positions 524 to 776 of the family's 1533-position model. The record is from RNAcentral.
UACGAAGGGGGCUAGCGUUGCUCGGAAUCACUGGGCGUAAAGGGUGCGUAGGCGGGUCUUUAAGUCAGGGGUGAAAUCCUGGAGCUCAACUCCAGAACUGCCUUUGAUACUGAGGAUCUUGAGUUCGGGAGAGGUGAGUGGAACUGCGAGUGUAGAGGUGAAAUUCGUAGAUAUCUGGAGGAACACCAGUGGCGAAGGCGGCAUCCUGGACCGGCAUUGACGCUGAGGCGCGAAAGCUAGGGUAGCAAACGGG